Molecule: long non-coding RNA, 384 nt
Organism: Dromaius novaehollandiae (emu)
Lineage: Eukaryota; Metazoa; Chordata; Aves; Casuariiformes; Dromaiidae
Exons: 4
Source: RefSeq, a predicted model, not a curated record
AGCUGUUCGCGCAAAAUCAAAGACUCCAGAAGUUGAGGACUGCCUACGGUUGAUCCCAGUACAAAGAGCUUUAUUGUCACAGCAUAUGCAGUAUGCAUCUUUAUAAUGAAAGAAGCCCCCUGAUUUUGGUCUUCUGAGCAGAAAGAACCUCAGGAGACUAAUGGAACAAGUUAGAUGUCCAAAGCCAAGAGAAAACCUGUCAACGAAAUAAAUGCAACAGUUAACUCUAAGGCCUGAUUUCUCUACGAUUUGGCACUGUUAUAUAGGAGAACAGAUUACAGCAUACAGUCGUUCUGACAUAUGUUGGAUAGUUGUUCUUUGAUACCUCUGAAAGUGGAUUUGCCCAGCUCCCAAGGCCGAAUGCCUCUGCUGACCAGCAGUUCA